GAUGAACGCUGGCGGCGUGCCUAAUACAUGCGAGUCGAGCGAACAGACGAGGAGCUUGCUCCUCUGACGUUAGCGGCGGACGGGUGAGUAACACGUGGAUAACCUACCUAUAAGACUGGGAUAACUUCGGGAAACCGGAGCUAAUACCGGAUAAUAUAUUCAACCGCAUGGUUCAAUAGUGAAAGACGGUUUUGCUGUCACUUAUCGAUGGAUCCGCGCCGCAUUAGCUAGUUGGUAAGGUAACGGCUUACCAAGGCAACGAUGCCUAGCCGCCCGGAGAGGGGGAUCGGCCACACGGGAACUGAGACACGGUCCAGACCCCUACGGGAGGCAGCAGUAGGGAAUCUUCCGCAAUGGGCGAAAGCCUGACGGAGCAACGCCGCGUGAGUGAUGAAGGUCUUCGGAUCGUAAAACUCUGUUAUUAGGGAAGAACAAAUGUGUAAUUAACUAUGCACGUCUUGACGGUACCUAAUCAGAAAGCCACGGCUAACUACGUG
Molecule: ribosomal RNA, 497 nt
Filed under: uncultured bacterium
Lineage: Bacteria
Description: partial 16S ribosomal RNA
Rfam family: Bacterial small subunit ribosomal RNA
Source: RNAcentral